RNAcentral lists this ribosomal RNA (889 nucleotides) under Pentagenella langei. Its description in RNAcentral is "LSU rRNA". It matches the Rfam family "Eukaryotic large subunit ribosomal RNA", at positions 40 to 943 of the family's 3401-position model. Lineage: Eukaryota; Fungi; Ascomycota; Arthoniomycetes; Arthoniales; Opegraphaceae. The record is from RNAcentral.
AUAUCAAUAAGCGGAGGAAAAGAAACCAACAGGGAUUGCCCUAGUAGCGGCGAGCGAAGCGGCAACAGCUCAAAUUUGAAAUCUGGCCCUUCCGGGGUCCGAGUUGUAAUUUGCAGAGGAUGCUUCGGCGUCGGCUCCGGGAUAGGUCCUCUGGAACGGGGCGCCGUAGAGGGUGAGAGCCCCGUAUUCGCCCGGGUGGCCGUCGCCGUGUGAAGCUCCUUCGAAGAGUCGAGUUGUUUGGGAAUGCAGCUCUAAGCGGGAGGUAUAUUUCUUCUAAAGCUAAAUACCGGCCAGAGACCGAUAGCGCACAAGUAGAGUGAUCGAAAGAUGAAAAGCACUUUGGAAAGAGAGUUAAAAAGCACGUGAAAUUGUUGAAAGGGAAGCUCUUGCCGCCAGACUUGCCCCGGUUGCUCAGCCGUCCUACUGGUCGGUGCACUCUUCCGGCGGCAGGCCAGCGUCAGUUCGGGCGGUCGGACAAAGGCGGUGGGAAUGUAGCUCCCCCCCAGGGGAGUGUUAUAGCCCGCGGUGCAAUGCGGCCAGCCCGGUCUGAGGUACGCGUUCCGCGAGGACGUUGGCGUAAUGGUGGCAAGCGACCCGUCUUGAAACACGGACCAAGGAGUCUAACAUCUGUGCGAGUGUUUGGGUGUCAAACCCAUGCGCGCAAUUAAAGUGAACGGAGGUUGGAACCCCCUCGAGGGGCGCACAAUCGACCGAUCCUGAUGUCUUCGGAUGGAUUUGAGUAAGAGCAUAGCUGUUGGGACCCGAAAGAUGGUGAACUUUGCCUGGACAGGGCGAAGCCAGAGGAAACUCUGGUGGAGGCUCGCAGCGGUUCUGACGUGCAAAUCGAUCGUCAAAUCUUGGCAAAGGGGCGAAAGACUAAUCGAACCAU